Callithrix jacchus (white-tufted-ear marmoset) is the source of this 2346-nucleotide long non-coding RNA. RefSeq lists it as uncharacterized. The record is from RefSeq and is a predicted model, not a curated record. NCBI's taxonomy places the organism in Eukaryota, Metazoa, Chordata, Mammalia, Primates, Cebidae.
AGUGUCUCCAAUGCCACCUCCAGUCUGGGGAAAGUCUGGUUCAUCUAGACAGCCCUAGCAGGGGAAAGUAAAGCAUCGUCCAUUGCACCCUGCCCUCCACAUGGAGGGAAGCCCCUGCCAUGGUGUGAGCUGCUCUGUGAGAGGCAAGAAACUGGUGUCUCCAGCCAGCAGCUACAGAGGGCCAGAGGUUGGCUUGGAGCUGAUGGAGUGAGUCUGGAGCAGAUCUUCCCCCAUUCAAACCACCACGUAUCUGUGGCCCCAGCUGUCAUUGUGCUUGCAGCCUCGUCACAAACCCUAAGGCAAAGACCCAUGUAAGCUUCACCCAGAUGUCUGACCCACAGAAAUGAAGAGAUGGAGUCUCAGUCUGUCACCCAGGCUGGAGUGCAAUGGUGCGAUCCUAGCUCACCACAACUUCCACCUCCCAGGUUCAAGCAACUCUCCUGCCUCAGCCUCCUGAGUAGAUGGGGUUACAGAUGGAGUCUCACUCGGUCACCCAGGCUGGAGUGCAGUGGUGCAAUCCCGGCUCACUGCAACCUCUGUCUCCUGGCUUCAAGCACUUCUCCUGCCUCAGCCUCCCGAGCAGCUGGGAUUAUAGGCAUGUGCCACCACACCCGGCUGAUUUUUGUGUUUUUAGUAGAGACAGGGUUUUAUCAUGCUGACCAGGCUGGUCUGAACUUCUGAUCUCAGAUGAUCCGCACCGCCCCCAGCCUCCCAAAGUGCUGGGAUUACAGGCAUGAGCCACUGUACCCGGCCAGUAACUUGGGUUUUGUGUCCUUUUUUGUAGUUGUUGAAUAAUUAUGGAAAAAAAUGCAUACAAAUAUUUCCAUGUGAAAUUUUUUGCCUAAUUUUAAGCCUAUUUCCUCAACUUGCUGUCCAACAGUCUCUUUCUUUUGAUGCCACUGACAUAGCUCUUAUCCAGAACGCUCCUUUUGCCUACUGGCAAUCAGGAGACAGAACACCCCUGCUCUGCUGUCACAUGGCAGAAGGGAUGGGGGAGAACCAGAGAGCUGUCCUCCUUGGACUGUGUGAAACAGUUCUCUAGAACUCAAAAAAAAAAAAAAUCCAAAGGCAACUCUGAGGCAGGGGAAUUUUCUUCCUGGCCCUGGUGAACAUAGCGUUUUUGAUGGGAACUAGGAAGGUGAUGUGUCCCUUUCUCUCCUUACUGCAGUAACUAAAUUCUAAAUAGAGCAAGAACUUCUGUAAUCUCACCCUUCUCUUUCUUCAUCAUUCUUCCAAAUUUGCAAUUCUUUGUCAAGAGCAGAAAAUCGUAUAGUUAAUAUUUGCUUUGGAUUAGUGAGUUUGUGAAGAGGAGGUAGAUUUGGGGUGUUAGUAUGAGUGUAUGUAUGCAUUAGAGACUCUCUCAGGUCUCCUCAUGGGAGGCACAACCUGAAAGCAACAGUAAUAGCAUUUUAAAACUUUAGUGUCAGGCCUGCAGAGAGAUGACGUCAGAUACCCUUCCAACCCCAUCGCCUUCCUGCUCCUCACACCUUCAGCAGCACUUCUCGUCUGGUUUUCUGUUUGCAGCACAGGCUGCAUGAUACUUGUACAUGCCCCUGCAAUGGGUACCCAGAGAGCACGUGCAAAUGAAGGUUCUAAGCUGUAAUUUCCCAUCAGGAGGAAAGCAUUUUAGUGAGUGGGGAAGAUGUUACUAGAAGGCUGACAUUGAAUCUGCUAUCACUUAUACUGUUAAAAAUAAAAUAAACCAUUCACAUGGCAGUAUUUGCAAACACUACUGGGAGCCAACUGCCUGCUCCCGAUUCCACCGGCUGAUGCAGUGCAGUGUCAUGGUAUGCAUGGAGGCUCUCUGUGUCUCAACCCUUCCUGCGUAACUUGGUGAAGCUUCUUAACCCUGAGCCUUGGUUUCUUUUGAAAAAUUAGGAUGAUAAUAAUUCAUAGUUCAUGAGGUUGAUGGGACUGUAAAGUACACUAAUCCAUUUAAAGCUUUUGGAGUAACGUUAACUUUAGGAAAGCAAUAAUAUGAAUAGUUCAAUUAUGGAAAAUGUACCAAACUGUUCUAUGCAUGUUAAGACAGUAGAAUGCUGCCCACCUCACCUAUUUAUCUCUUAGACAACCUUGGUAACCUAAGAUUAUGAUCAUUUGUUUAGCCUGGGGUGUGACAAACUGUUGUACUGGGGCGACAAAUGCAGCCCCCUUGUUUUUGUAAAUAAAGUUUACGAAACUCACUUGCUUAUGUAUUGUCUAUCACUCUUUUCAAGCUACAACAUCAAGGUUGAGUACCUGAGGCAAGAGACUGCAUGACCCACAAAAUCUGAAAUACAUAUUCUUAGCUCUUUGCAGGAAAAGUUUGCCAACACUUACAUAGCCUGCUGUGAGACAUUAAUUAUA